GGUUAAGCGACUAAGCGUACACGGUGGAUGCCCUGGCAGUCAGAGGCGAUGAAGGACGUGCUAAUCUGCGAAAAGCGUCGGUAAGGUGAUAUGAACCGUUAUAACCGGCGAUGUCCGAAUGGGGAAACCCAGUGCAAUUCGUUGCACUAUCGUUAACUGAAUACAUAGGUUAACGAGGCGAACCGGGGAACUGAAACAUCUAAGUACCCCGAGGAAAAGAAAUCAACCGAGAUUCCCCAGUAGCGGCGAGCGAACGGGGAGCAGCCCAGAGUCUGAAUCAGCUUGUGUGUUAGUGGAACGGUCUGGAAAGUCCGACGGUACAGGGUGAUAGUCCCGUACACCAAAAUGCACAGGCUGUGAACUCGAAGAGUAGGGCGGGACACGUGGUAUCCUGUCUGAAUAUGGGGGACCAUCCUCCAAGGCUAAAUACUCCUGACUGACCGAUAGUGAACCAGUACCGUGAGGGAAAGGCGAAAAGAACCCCGGCGAGGGAGUGAAAAAGAACCUGAAACCGUGUACGUACAAGCAGUGGGAGCACCUUCGGGUGUGACUGCGUACCUUUGUAUAAUGGGUCAGCGACUUAUAUUCUGUAGCAAGGUUAACCGUAUAGGGAGCCGCAGGGAAACCGAGUCUUAACUGGGCGUUAAGUUGCAGGGUAUAGACCCGAAACCCGGUGAUCUAGCCAUGGGCAGGUUGAAGGUUGGGUAACACUAACUGGAGGACCGAACCGACUAAUGUUGAAAAAUUAGCGGAUGACUUGUGGCUGGGGGUGAAAGGCCAAUCAAACCGGGAGAUAGCUGGUUCUCCCGAAAGCUAUUUAGGUAGCGCCUCGUGAACUCAUCUUCGGGGUAGAGCACUGUUUCGGCUAGGGGUCAUCCCGACUUACCAACCCGAUGCAAACUACGAAUACCGAAGAAUGUUAUCACGGGAGACACACGGCGGGUGCUAACGUCCGUCGUGAAGAGGGAAACAACCCAGACCGCCAGCUAAGGUCCCAAAGUCAUGGUUAAGUGGGAAACGAUGUGGGAAGGCACAGACAGCCAGGAUGUUGGCUUAGAAGCAGCCAUCAUUUAAAGAAAGCGUAAUAGCUCACUGGUCGAGUCGGCCUGCGCGGAAGAUGUAACGGGGCUAAACCAUGCACCGAAGCUGCGGCAGCGACACUAUGUGUUGUUGGGUAGGGAGCGUUCUGUAAGCCUGCGAAGGUGUGCUGUGAGGCAUGCUGGAGGUAUCAGAAGUGCGAAUGCUGACAUAAGUAACGAUAAAGCGGGUGAAAAGCCCGCUCGCCGGAAGACCAAGGGUUCCUGUCCAACGUUAAUCGGGGCAGGGUGAGUCGACCCCUAAGGCGAGGCCGAAAGGCGUAGUCGAUGGGAAACAGGUUAAUAUUCCUGUACUUGGUGUUACUGCGAAGGGGACGGAGAAGGCUAUGUUAGCCGGGCGACGGUUGUCCCGGUUUAAGCAUGUAGGCUGAUUGUCCAGGCAAAUCCGGAUAAUCAAGGCUGAGGUGUGAUGACGAGGCACUACGGUGCUGAAGUAACAAAUGCCCUGCUUCCAGGAAAAGCCUCUAAGCAUCAGGUAACAUCAAAUCGUACCCCAAACCGACACAGGUGGUCAGGUAGAGAAUACCAAGGCGCUUGAGAGAACUCGGGUGAAGGAACUAGGCAAAAUGGUGCCGUAACUUCGGGAGAAGGCACGCUGGUGUGUAGGUGAAGUCCCUGCGGAUGGAGCUGAGACCAGUCGAAGAUACCAGCUGGCUGCAACUGUUUAUUAAAAACACAGCACUGUGCAAACACGAAAGUGGACGUAUACGGUGUGACGCCUGCCCGGUGCCGGAAGGUUAAUUGAUGGGGUUAUCCGUAAGGAGAAGCUCUUGAUCGAAGCCCCGGUAAACGGCGGCCGUAACUAUAACGGUCCUAAGGUAGCGAAAUUCCUUGUCGGGUAAGUUCCGACCUGCACGAAUGGCGUAAUGAUGGCCAGGCUGUCUCCACCCGAGACUCAGUGAAAUUGAACUCGCUGUGAAGAUGCAGUGUACCCGCGGCAAGACGGAAAGACCCCGUGAACCUUUACUAUAGCUUGACACUGAACAUUGAGCCUUGAUGUGUAGGAUAGGUGGGAGGCUUUGAAGCGUGGACGCCAGUCUGCGUGGAGCCAACCUUGAAAUACCACCCUUUAAUGUUUGAUGUUCUAACGUUGGCCCCUGACCGGGGUUGCGGACAGUGUCUGGUGGGUAGUUUGACUGGGGCGGUCUCCUCCCAAAGCGUAACGGAGGAGCACGAAGGUUAGCUAAUCCUGGUCGGACAUCAGGAGGUUAGUGCAAUGGCAUAAGCUAGCUUGACUGCGAGCGUGACGGCGCGAGCAGGUGCGAAAGCAGGUCAUAGUGAUCCGGUGGUUCUGAAUGGAAGGGCCAUCGCUCAACGGAUAAAAGGUACUCCGGGGAUAACAGGCUGAUACCGCCCAAGAGUUCAUAUCGACGGCGGUGUUUGGCACCUCGAUGUCGGCUCAUCACAUCCUGGGGCUGAAGUAGGUCCCAAGGGUAUGGCUGUUCGCCAUUUAAAGUGGUACGCGAGCUGGGUUUAGAACGUCGUGAGACAGUUCGGUCCCUAUCUGCCGUGGGCGCUGGAGAAUUGAGGGGCUGCUCCUAGUACGAGAGGACCGGAGUGGACGCAUCACUGGUGUUCGGGUUGUCAUGCCAAUGGCACUGCCCGGUAGCUAAAUGCGGAAGAGAUAAGUGCUGAAAGCAUCUAAGCACGAAACUUGCCCCGAGAUGAGUUCUCCCUGAGACUUUAAGUCUCCUGAAGGAACGUUAAAGACGAUGACGUUGAUAGGCCGGGUGUGUAAGCGCAGCGAUGCGUUGAGCUAACCGGUACUAAUGAACCGUGAGGCUUAACCUU
This 2888-nucleotide ribosomal RNA is filed under the name Klebsiella pneumoniae. RNAcentral's name for it is "23S ribosomal RNA". It matches the Rfam family "Bacterial large subunit ribosomal RNA". Lineage: Bacteria; Pseudomonadati; Pseudomonadota; Gammaproteobacteria; Enterobacterales; Enterobacteriaceae. The record is from RNAcentral.